UUAUACCUAUGAUGAUGCAUACCUCUCAGACAACUCCUCCACAGAAUCUGGAAGCACCACCGCAACCGCCUCCCCGGAGCAGGUCAUCCCACAGCUUGCCUUCAGAAUCGGUUCCUUCACAACAGCAAGAGCAACCAUCAGGGUAACAGAUUAACGCAAAUGGAGUCUAUGGCAUUAAACUUGAAACACAGUUAAACAAUGACCCUUUUGAAGAUCUGUCAUUUAAUCUGCUUGCUGCAUCAAAGGUUCAGACAUCUGUUCGAAUAUCAC
Chrysemys picta bellii (western painted turtle) is the source of this 270-nucleotide non-coding RNA. The record is from RefSeq and is a predicted model, not a curated record. Lineage: Eukaryota; Metazoa; Chordata; Testudines; Emydidae.